UCAAAAAUAAAUUUGAUGACUCUAUUCGAACCAAUAUACUUGCUUGUUUCCGGUUCAACCCGUCCCUGGUCGGUUUGUUCCGGUUUCUACAGUAGAGGACGUUGGUGUUUCUACAUUAGGUUACGACCUUUUUCUCCUUUACUUAUUGGCUUUCUACCGGGAAAAGGAAACUGCAGCUCUCUCUUCUCUCUCGAUUUGCGACCAUUUCUUCUUCUCCCUUUUUCUUUCACGCGUAACUUGCGUCUUCGUCUUACGUAUAAUCCAAUUUCCAACUGUUCAAGAGGCCAGGUUGUAAAGAGGAAAUGGAUGCCCAAGGGAGGAACAAGGCGUUGUUUCGCGCCAAAUUGAAUGCACAAAAGAAGGAGAAGCGCAUAGAUUCUCCCCUUAUCAGUUACAAUGAAUCUGACCAACCUGUCUGCCGGGUUUGUGAUGUUGUUUUGAAAUCUGUAUCCCAUUGGGAUGCACACCAAGCUUCUCGUAAACAUCAUGAGGCAAUUAAUACCUUGAAAGCUAAUGCUGCUAGGCGUACUCAAGCUAGCAAUACGCAAUCUGGUCUGCCUCCAAGGUUUUUUGAUAAUCAUGGGACGGAGAAGCAAACAACUGAGAUUGAAAAGUUGCCAGAUCCUAGUUCAAACAAAAAGCCUGGAAUUUCAGCACAAACUCAUGCAAAGGAGUGUCUAUAUUCAGAGACCGAAGAGGAUGGUUGUCCUCAAAGCAGUGCCAGUCAAACAAAGAUGACUCAGCCUCCUGAGUCAAGACAGGUCACACAGUUAGCAACCAAGAAAGUGAAAGGAUCUCUUCCUGAUAACUUCUUUGAUAGGGAUGAAACCAAGUUACCUACGAAUCUUAUGAAGCCUCCAAGGGAGAAUAAACUGGCAGUGAAGCAGGCUAGUGCUCCAGAAACCAAAACAAAGCACGUUAAAGGAUCUCUUCCUGAUGACUUCUUUGAUAAGGAUGAUGCCAAGUUACCUAUGAAUGCCAUGAAGCCUCCUAGGGAGAAUAUACAGGCUUCAGAGCAGGCUAGUGCUCCAGAAACCAAGCAAGUAAAGGGAGCUCUCCCUGAAGGAUUCUUUGACAAUAAGGAAGCUGAUUUACGUGCUCGUGGCAUUAAGCCUGUUAAGAUAGAUGUCAAAGAUGAGUACAAGGAAUUUGAAAAGUUGAUUCAAGAAGAUCUGCAAGAGGUGGACAAUCGUAUGGAAGAAGAGGAGAUUGAUGCAGCUGAAAUGAUUGAAGAGGCUGAAUCUUUGGAGCAAAAGGUUUACAAGCAGAAAGUGGAAACAUUGUGGAAGAGGAAACUGGAAUUGGAGACCUCUAGAUCAAAUAAGCGUCAGAGGGGGAAGGAAACUGAUAGACAGGAAUCUAACAGUGAAGAGUCAACUAGUGACAGUGAGAGUGACAGUGAUGAGAACUUUGCAGUUGAUUGGAGAGCUCAACACCUAUGAAAUCUACUGCAAGUACGGAGUUUGUCCUCCUUGCAACUGUGCAUUUUAAUGAGAAGUCUCUUACUAAAAAGGAAAAGUAAUAAAAAGGGAAAAAAUUGGAACGCUGUUUCAAGUUCUAAAAAUUUGGUUUUAGACAUCUGAAAGAAAUCUGCCACAAACUAUAUUAAGAGUGAGAUGAAGAGCCAAGAUCCAAAUACACACUAUCCAGGUUUAUAUGAUGCAAAACAAUUGAACCUUGGUCUAUUCAGCUGAAUUAUAACCUUUCACAGGAGUGAUGCAUACAAGAUGGCUGAUUAGGUUGUGAAAAGUUAUUAUCGACUUUGUUCACUUGUGAUCUUGGUUUACAGGUUCAUAGGUUGGAGAAUUUGUAUUGUGAAACACGGUUUUGUGAGGAGUAUUGUAAUUUUGUCGCAGGCUUUAUUAAUAUAGAUGUAAUGUAAUUCAGCUGAUUCAAAUUUGAA
RNA transcript from Gossypium arboreum, 1903 nucleotides. It is a transcript of the gene named protein ABA AND ROS SENSITIVE 1, with no coding region annotated. The transcript is spliced from 9 exons. The record is from RefSeq and is a predicted model, not a curated record. Lineage: Eukaryota; Viridiplantae; Streptophyta; Magnoliopsida; Malvales; Malvaceae.